AAAAAAAGAAAAAAGAAAAAAAAUUUUUUGUUUCAUAUUUUUAUCCUCCUAAUGGAAUGAAGGCAUAUAGCCACUUCUUCUAUUUGGAAGUCUACGUCUUGUUUGCAUUGGGUGAUUUGGAUGUGUGUAUUUUAUCCCUCUCUGAAAUGAAAUUGUGUAUUAAUUGGCUUAUGUGCACAAGAUUGAACAUUUAGCCCUUUGUAUAUGAUUCUGUUUACUUAUUACUUAAUGCCUUGACAUUUAGCCCAAUGUUUUUGCUGCUUCUCUGUUUCUAGGACAGUAGUACUACCAAGAUGUUAACAUGAUAAUAUAGGAAUACUUUUUUUUUUAAUGUAUUUAUUAGUUUUUUGUGAGGUUGAAUUAUUAUGGUUUUCGUGCAGUGGUCCAUCCAGG
Molecule: unclassified non-coding RNA, 393 nt
Filed under: Hevea brasiliensis (rubber tree)
Lineage: Eukaryota; Viridiplantae; Streptophyta; Magnoliopsida; Malpighiales; Euphorbiaceae
Source: RNAcentral